AACGAACGCUGGCGGCAGGCUUAACACAUGCAAGUCGAACGCCCCGCAAGGGGAGUGGCAGACGGGUGAGUAACGCGUGGGAAUCUACCCAUCCCUACGGAAUAACGCAUGGAAACGUGUGCUAAUACCGUAUACGCCCUACGGGGGAAAGAUUUAUCGGGGAUGGAUGAGCCCGCGUUGGAUUAGCUAGUUGGUGGGGUAAAGGCCUACCAAGGCGACGAUCCAUAGCUGGUCUGAGAGGAUGAUCAGCCACAUUGGGACUGAGACACGGCCCAAACUCCUACGGGAGGCAGCAGUGGGGAAUAUUGGACAAUGGGCGCAAGCCUGAUCCAGCCAUGCCGCGUGAGUGAUGAAGGCCUUAGGGUUGUAAAGCUCUUUCACCGGAGAAGAUAAUGACGGCAUCCGGAGAAGAAGCCCCGGCUAACUUCGUG
Molecule: ribosomal RNA, 431 nt
Filed under: uncultured bacterium
Lineage: Bacteria
Description: partial 16S ribosomal RNA
Rfam family: Bacterial small subunit ribosomal RNA
Source: RNAcentral